RNAcentral lists this ribosomal RNA (854 nucleotides) under Apiospora rasikravindrae. RNAcentral's name for it is "eukaryotic LSU rRNA". It matches the Rfam family "Eukaryotic large subunit ribosomal RNA", at positions 63 to 943 of the family's 3401-position model. The record is from RNAcentral. Lineage: Eukaryota; Fungi; Ascomycota; Sordariomycetes; Amphisphaeriales; Apiosporaceae.
AACCAACAGGGAUUCCCCUAGUAACGGCGAGUGAAGCGGGAACAGCUCAAAUUUGAAAUCUGGCCCUUGGGUCCGAGUUGUAAUUUGCAGAGGAUGCUUUUGGUGCGGUGCCUUCCGAGUUCCCUGGAACGGGACGCCUUAGAGGGUGAGAGCCCCGUACGGUUGGCCACCAAGCCUGUGUAAAGCUCCUUCGACGAGUCGAGUAGUUUGGGAAUGCUGCUCAAAAUGGGAGGUAUAUUUCUUCUAAAGCUAAAUACUGGCCAGAGACCGAUAGCGCACAAGUAGAGUGAUCGAAAGAUGAAAAGCACUUUGAAAAGAGGGUUAAAUAGCACGUGAAAUUGUUGAAAGGGAAGGAUUUAUGACCAGACUUUUUCUAGGGGGAUCAUCCGGUGUUCUCACCGGUGCACUUCCCCUAGUUGAGGCCAGCAUCGGUUUCUGUCGGGGGAUAAAAGCUUCGGGAAUGUGGCUCCCUCCGGGGAGUGUUAUAGCCCGUUGCAUAAUACCCUGACGGGGACCGAGGUUCGCGCAUUGCAAGGAUGCUGGCGUAAUGGUUAUUAAUCACCCGUCUUGAAACACGGACCAAGGAGUCGAACAUUUGUGCGAGUGUUUGGGUGUUAAACCCUCACGCGUAAUGAAAGUGAACGGAGGUGAGAGCCCCUCGGGGUGCAUCAUCGACCGAUCCUGAUGUCUUCGGAUGGAUUUGAGUAAGAGCAUAACUGUUCGGACCCGAAAGAUGGUGAACUAUGCGUGGAUAGGGUGAAGCCAGAGGAAACUCUGGUGGAGGCUCGCAGCGGUUCUGACGUGCAAAUCGAUCGUCAAAUCUGCGCAUGGGGGCGAAAGACUAAUCGAACCAU